This 952-nucleotide non-coding RNA is filed under the name Conus goudeyi. RNAcentral's name for it is "12S ribosomal RNA". The stretch from base 238 to 951 matches the Rfam family "Microsporidia small subunit ribosomal RNA". Lineage: Eukaryota; Metazoa; Mollusca; Gastropoda; Neogastropoda; Conidae. The record is from RNAcentral.
UUUGGUGGUUAAAGUGAGAUUACUAAUUUAAAGUAGAGAAAUAGUAAGCAUAUAAUUGUAUGAUUAAAUAAUAAAACUUGGCUCUGAUUUUAGGUAUGGCGUGCACUAAGGAAUACACAUGGCUUUUUUAGAGAGAGGUGAGGUGGAAAGUAGGUUGUUAGAAUAUUAGCGUAAAGCUGUGAUGACAUGAUUUUCUGGGAUGUUAUAGUGAACACGAUAUCCUGAAAUACCCACUAACACCAGUGUUGAAGAUUAAGGAAAGGGCGAAAGCCUGUAUUAGUUUAGUGAGUAAAAUUUGGUUAAUUUGGUGCCAGCAUCCGCGGUUAAACCAAGAAAUUCAGUCAUUCUUUUACGGUAAAAAGACAGUUAUACAAGUAACAUGAUCAUUAGACCUUUAGUAGAGGAGUAAAAUCUAUAUACUAAAAGUUAUACUGGAUAUGAUUUAUUGAAGAUGUUGAAUCUGUGACAGCUUUAAGGGAAACUGGGAUUGGAUACCCCAUUAUUUAUAGUCGUAAAUUUAGUUUAAACUUACCAGAGUACUACGAAUAAAAAAUUUAAAACUCAAAGGGCUUGGCGGUGUUUUAGACCUCUCAGGGGAACCUGUCUCGUAAUCGACAAUCCACGUUAGACCUAACCCUUUGUGGUAAUUCAGCCUGUAUACCGUCGUCGUCAGGUAACUUCUUAAAAUAUAGUAGUUAGCUCGAGAACAUUAUUAAUUGAAACGUCAGAUCAAGGUGCAGCUAAUAAAAGGGUGAGGAUGGGUUACAAUUACAGAUUUGUAAAUACGGAAAACAUUUGAAAUGAAGUGUCUUAAAGGAGGACUUGAAAGUAAUUUUAAUUAUAUAAAUAAAAUGAAUAAGGCUCUGAAACGUGCACACAUCGCCCGUCGCUCUCGUUGAAAAAUGAGAUAAGUCGUAACAUAGUAGGGGUAAUGGAAAUUGUUCCUAGGCUG